AUUUGACCUCAAAUCAGGUAGGAGUACCCGCUGAACUUAAGCAUAUCAAUAAGCGGAGGAAAAGAAAAUAACAAUGAUUCCCCUAGUAACUGCGAGUGAAGAGGGACAAGCUCAAAUUUUAAAUCUGUUAGGUUUACCUAACCGAGUUGUAAUUUGAAGAGGCGUUUUCUGUGUUUUUGAUCAGCCCAAGUCCUUUGGGAUAGGGCAUCAUGGAGGGUGAGAAUCCCGUUCGGUUGAUCAGAUUCGCUUUACGAUACGUCAUCUAAGAGUCAAGUUGUUUGGGAUUGCAGCUUAAAAUGGGAGGUAAAUUUCUCCUAAGGCUAAAUAACGGCGAGAGACCGAUAGCGAACAAGUACCGUGAGGGAAAGAUGAAAAGAACUUUGAAAAGAGAGUUAAACAGUACGUGAAAUUGUUGAAAGGGAAACGAUUGAAGCCAGUCGUACCUUCGGGUAAUCAGCCUUUCGGGUGCGAUUCUGUGGAGCGUGGGGAGUUAAACGCCUUCAUGCCUGCAUAUUCGUGCACUUUGGGUGUACUUGCCCGUGUGGUAGGUUAACAUCAAUUUCGGAUGUCAUAAAAUGGCUGGAGGAAUGUAGCUUCGGUCUCGUACUGAAGUGUUAUAGCCUUUGGUAGAUGUGAUGACCGGGAUUGAGGAUUGCAACGAAUACCUUUUGGGCUAUCCGUCUGAUCUCUGAAAGUUGCUCUGGUGCCGAAAGCUUGCUUACGGUUAUCAAAGUUGACGUUCAAAAGGUUAGAACGGGUUAAAUUCGUUAAGGAUGUUGACGUAAUGGCUUUAAACGACCCGUCUUGAAACACGGACCAAGGAGUCUAACAUAUAUGCGAGUGUUA
Molecule: ribosomal RNA, 846 nt
Filed under: Rhizophagus intraradices
Lineage: Eukaryota; Fungi; Glomeromycota; Glomeromycetes; Glomerales; Glomeraceae
Description: eukaryotic LSU rRNA
Rfam family: Eukaryotic large subunit ribosomal RNA
Source: RNAcentral